UGAGAUGAAGGACGGUGCAGCUGAUUGUAUUGUUGGACGAAUUCAGGGCCGACACACUUGAUAACUGGAGCAUACAUCACUUUUAGCCACUCCAAAUAAGGGAGCCGACACAAGCCAUCCGGGAGCUGGGUGCAGCAGGGCAGGUGUUCGAGGCAUAGAAGCUUCAAGCUCUGGAGAGGCACCAUAGCUGUGGACGCCAUCCAUCCUGGGAGCCGGCGGCCAAAAUAUCUUUCUAUGAUGAUUUGUUCUAUGCAAGGCUGAGGACAAAACGCAUCAAACACCGCCUCAAUUAUUUGCUCCUCCUCCUUAGACUCAGAGACUCCUCCUCCCACUCGGCCGCCACAUCUUAAUUCAAGUUUGGUAAGGUAUUUCUUUGUAUUUAGAUUUGCCUUUGCGGCCAACAAGGCACUAGAUAUAUUUUCCAGACUCUUUAGUGAAAGGCAAUGGAGUUGGGAAAGAGGCCCCAACUCCUCCAAACUACACCAGUCACCAUCAAUAUAGGCUGGAAACCCACAUAGUACCCUCAAAUUUGUAAGAGCCCGGAAACCCCUAGGAAUACAGCUUACACGUGUGCCAUCAAUAUCAAGAAAUCUCAGCCCUUGCAGCUUGACAAUGCUAUCAGGAAGUUUCACAAAACUCUCACAACAUUCAAGGCUAAUAUGUUCUAGGUAUUUCAUCUCAUGGAUGUUCUCGGGCAGGCUACACAUAUCAAUCUUGUUUAAUGCCAAAUAUCUCAAGUGCUUGAGUUGGUACACACCUUCAACUAGUGCAGAAAUAUUUGCAGAUUCUACGUGUAGAAGACGUAGACUUGGGAAGUUAAUCAACAAAUCACCAGGCUCAGUUUUGAGGUUUCCAGUUAAUAUUAGUGUCCUAAGCAAUUUCUGCUCUCUUAAAUAUCUCCACUCAAAUUCAUCUGAUCCCACUCCUCUGGUCUCUAUAGAUAAUCUUAGAAAAUUGGAUGAUUUAAGGGUUUUUAUAGCAAUAUCUGCAUUAUGAGCUACUAGUGUUUCAUCCCUAGCCAUAAAUUGAGCAAAUGAACGAAUGACAUCAUGCAUGUUGCAAAAAAGUUGGCUAGGGAAUUUUGGAUCUACCUCUAUAAGGUUUCUUAAUAUUAGCUCUUUGUAGUUCUUUUCCCCUUCCUCUUCCAAACUGUUUGAGCCUCCUUGAACCAAUCCUUCACAAAUCCACAUUGACACGAUUUCAUUGAUAGAUAGCACUACCUUCUUGGGUUUAAGUGAGAAGUGCAGGAAGCAUUGUUUUAAGUGAGGGGACAUGUCCUGGUAACUAAGAUAUAUUGCAUAGUUUAGGUCAUCUGACAUUGGAGAUACUGACCAUAUAUCAUCAUGCAAGAUAUCUUCCCAAUCACGCCGUGAUUUUUCCUUAUUGCAUAGAAGUCCACCCAUCACUUUAAUAGCAAGUGGUAAACCAUCACAUUUUGCAAGAAUUUGCAAGCCAAGAUCCUUUAGCACAUCAACCUCAUGCCCGUUUUCCUCUGUUGUGAGUACCUACAAUCAAUUUAAAUAUCUGGCAUCAGCAACAAAGGGGAACAUGACAAGCGACAUUUGUGAUCAGAUAAUUUAUUUAUUUCAUUUACUAAUCAUAUGCUAGAUCGGUGAAUAAACCAAACUAAUACUCCAUCUAACCACAAAUGUAUCUCGCUUGGUACAUUGACAAAGUCUUCAAACUGAAACAAAGUUUCCACUAAAUUCAAUAGAGAUAUGUUGCUAGAAAUUAUAAUGUAGUACAACAUGAAAAUAUAUUCCACGGUAGAUGUAAUAGUGUCAAUUUCAUGUAAUCAAUGUGGGUAAAUACAGUUAUAGCCAAGUUUUGAAAUAAUUGUCUCACCCAUGUCCUAAGAUGAACUAUAUUCAAAAGGAGUAAAAGUUACACACUGCCUGAUUAAAUUCUAGUGGAGAAGUGUAAGGUCACUCGUUAAUUAAUCGUUUCUGAGUGAACAACCGACGAGACUCCCUCACAUUGCCUCCCCUGGGCGUCGCCAGGGGACCAAAUCCUAGCUCCCCCGGUCCCUUCCGUCUCCUCUCCUGUUGCCAGUACCGCCGGCCUAGUCCGCGGUGGUGGUGGGCCCGACGCCAAAGUGUUAGGUCGGGUGGUGUGCUGCAGGAUCUUCCGGAGGCGGCAGGGGCGACUUCGGCGUUGGAUCCGCGAGAAGCAUAUAGGGCGGUGCCCCUAGCCUGUGCGGCGGCGGACAGAUCCAUGGACGGUAUGGUGUUCUUUCCCUCGGUGGAGUCUAUGCCUAAGAUUGAUGGACAAAAGCUGCAGAUCUGGCGUCCCAUCUAGAUCCGUCCCGACAUCGUUCUUUCCAACCGGCGGCGCGUGGAGGACAGGCGAGGGACGGCUCAAGGCGCCCUGCCGGCGUACCAGCGGCGGCUUUAGUCUUCGCGAAGAGACUCCGUUCGGUUCCAAUCAGCUACGAGAUCGGAAGGGCGUGACAUCCGGUGAAAAUCUUGCCGACUACGGCCAGGGCGGAAGAUGGCGGCGUCUGUGACGUCGUUCCCUUCUUGAGGCAUCAUUGUUGCAGGUGGUGGCACCCCACUCGUGAUGCUCUCCGGGGGAAACCCUGGAUCUGGGUCUACCGAAUUGUACGAUGAUGGUACCUUCGAUGUCGUUGUCCCUCCUGGGGGCAUCGUUUUGGAGCACGUGCUGGCUGGAGGGGACAAGAUGAGGACUAAUGUUACAUCUACCGCAAGGCCUACGGUGGAUCCCGGCGGCAUGGCACCGAGGAGGUUCAGCGACGGGCGUGUGUGAACGGAUACGUGCAGGAUGGUGGCGUUGUCUGGCACCAAGCAAGGGCGCUGCGUCAGUUUCUGCUCUGGAGAUGGAUGGAUGGAAGAUGGCGGCUGCAGCCUCUAGCCUCUGAGAGUGUGUCGGUACGGUGUGUGACCUGGUCCUGGUAUGUGUUCGGGAUGGGGCACCCGACUUUAGAUGUUAGGCUUUGGUGCGCUGUCUGUUUGGUAUUUGACUCGGAUAUUCGGCAUCCCUUCAUCAAAAGGAUAGGAGUAGAAACAGGUGUUGGCUAGAUGAUGGCUUCAAGAUUAUUGAUGUAUUGCAUUGUAUGGUCUUUGUGAAUAAUUAAUAAAAUGACCGCAUGCAUCGUUGAGAUGCAGAGGCCGGGGUAUAUCCUUCUUUUCCAAAUAAAAAAAAGUCUACUAAGGCAGAAAUCAUGCACAACUACAUACUAUUCAUUUAUCCUAACUGAUAUAUUUUGUCUACCUUAUAUAUUAUCAUGAAACACGAAGUCUUAAGUACACACAUAUACACCAUGAAUAUUUCAUUUGAUCUGACAUAUAGGUUUUUGGGCAUGACAAGGUCCUAACAUUCAUAGAUCUUGACCAUUAAGUUAUAUGCAAGCUUGUGUCCUUACAUUACCUAGAAAUAAAAAUAGAUUUUCUAAUGAAUAUAAUGAUAUCAAUUUAUGUAUCAGAUGAUAUAAUUUUAUUUAUAUAUGGUCAAACUUAGAAACACUUGGUUCGCAAUAUUCUAAAAAGACCAAGAUUUUGGAUCAGAGGUGCUAGUAGUUAACUACUAUUUGCCCAAACAAGAAAAUAAAUGUGAAUGGUAUUUACUUGAGUUUGUAUUAAUAGCAAAACUUAUGGAAUAAGAGCAAUACAACUUGUAUGAUGUUUAUUGUGGUACCCAUACUAAUCUUCUGACAAGCAAUUAUUAAUAACUAAUAGUAGUCAAUCAACUGAAGACAUUUACAAUGACGUACUAGAGAGUAUGUUGGUACACAAUACAUUAUAUUUAACUUGAUUAUAACUGUCUUGAGCCAACAAACAUACAUAUGUAACUGCAUAUUCUACUAAAAGGAGAGGUGUUAGAGUUUGUGGCAGUACCAACCUGCCUCUUGAGCAAUGACCAUGCAUCUUCAGGCCCUAACCUGUCAAUGUGGUGGUGGUGCACAGCUUUCAUGCUCCGAGCAACAGGCUCAUGUCUUGUGGUGAUGAGUACUCGACUUCCACGGCCACCAUAGCCAAAGGGAGUCAUUAGAUGUUUAUUCCAUGCAUCGACGCUCCACAUGUCAUCCAGCACAAGAAAGAACUUCUUAUCCUUGAUGGUAUUCAUGAGAGCACGAACAAGUAGGUCCUUGUCGUCUCGAGCUGCACCUCCACCAGGCAGGUCUCCCCCAGCAGCAGUAAUGGAUUUACUUAACAGCUCAACACCACUGAAAUCCUGUGUGAUGCUAAGCCAUAUCUGCUUAGUGAAUUUACCUUUGACAGCCUCGUCAUUGAAGAUCUUCUUGCCGAGGGUGGUCUUGCCAAUCCCGCCGACACCAACGAUGGCCACUACCAUGAGGUGAUCAGUCUUGUCACCGUCCACCUCCCUAGUAAGCACCUCCACAAGUGCUCUUGUGUCAUCCUCUAUCUUCUCGCCGACAGCACCUGACCGAUCCAUCAAUGAAUCCGUUUUGCGGUCAGUGGCGGGAGAUCGAGUCCUCUUCAUGUCUUGGUAGGCUUCCAGCUUGACGAAGUCGAAACUACGUCCUCUCUUGCAAAUGCUAUCCAACUUCUCAUUCAGUUCCUUGAUGCGGGUGCCGAUGUCGUGGGCGUGGAGGGGGUUUCGCAUGCAGAAGAGGAGUGGGUUAAGGCAUCCCAUGCUCUUGGAUGGACCCUGCUCCAUGGCCUUGAGCUGACAUAGGUCGAUGAUGUCGGUGGCCAGAUACAUGGCACGCUUCAGUUCCCCCACCCACCCCCGCACACUCUCAUCUGUGAUGUUCCUCCGAUCAGCAUCUGCAAGGAAGUUCUUGAGGUCCUUCAGCUUGAUGUCCAGCGUGUUGAUCUCGCCGGACACACCGAUGAGCAUGGCCACCUCUUUUGUCGCCAUGUCGGCGAGCAUGUUGGUAACAUAGGAUGCCAAAGCAUCCAAAACCCCUGACAUUGGUUUGAGGGCUUUCGCUGCUGCACAGAAAAAAUGCAAAGCAAACUGCUCAUUAUGCCGUCUAAGAACAAAUGUCGUCGGAUGCUAAAAUUUGAACUACAUGCCAUAGGUAGCUAUGAAUUUCACUAUGAGCUCGACCAAGACGAUGGAUACCUUCCUUUCUUUUGAGAAACAAAAGAGGAGUCUAUUACUAGGAACACAAGAAAAACAGCUAAUGUGCUGAAAUUACCUGAAUCAACUCAGCUGAAGAGAGUAGAAAUGAAAGGAUUGUUGGAUGACCGAUGUGCAGUGCAGUAGUAUGUACGUACGCCUGGUAGUACUUUUAUAGACGAAUGAGCUGUAGACUCUCUGCUAUGUGUGCGCAUAGCAUAGGAAUAUUUUAUUAUAUUUUUUAAAGUAUACUUGAAGGAAUAAAAUCCAUUUUUUAAAAUGUAUAUUUGUCAGAAAUAUACCAUUUACACAUAGUCUCUACAUAACAAGAUGCCACAAAGACAUUAAGUUGUACACAGAACAAAAAAGAACCGAAAAAGGCGUAGCCACAGUGAUCAUCUCCUUAAAACGGAAGGACACAAACCAUCAUCAAAUACAACACCCAAAAAACAUCACAUGGUCUCCAAAAGCGACACCUUGAAAAAGAAAAUAGUGCACAAACGCCUAUGUCGCCCGAUCUAAUACCUUCAACAAAGUUUGAUCUCUCAAAACAAUACUUCCUGUAAGACAAUUGCAAGGAACAACCAUUAAAGGUCAGAUCUUAGUUUUUACCCUAAAAGUAACGACUCGGCAUUCGAGAAGCACUACAGAAAAUGAAAUUCUCCAAUGUUACCGCCUCCACUUGUCACUUCUGUUUUUGAAAGCUAGCAAACACCUGGAUGUCACCUCCAAGGCAACCUCGCUGUGCACCGCCGAUCGCUAGUCCCACCACCAUGGCAAUCAACCGCCGCAUCACUGCGACCCUCGCCAUCGCGGUGUCAUGGCCCAGCCACGCCGUACUGUGAUGGAGGCAGUGCACGAGAAGGGGCAAUGCCAGGCGAUAACAAAGAUAACUAUGUGCAUCAUCCGAUGCAGUGGGAUGAUAACAAAGUUAUCCUCUUUUCGGCAAAAAAUUUUUUGAUUGAAUGUUGCCCGCAACGGCUGGAUCUUGAACGCUUGCUUGCUCGUGACUGGAUCCACACCCCUUCAUUAACAGCCUAUUUUAAUUUUCCUUGAUGAGUGCAGUUUGUUAAAUCUGUUUUUGCAUUGUUUUUCUCGAUCUCUACUCCAUCGAUCGGAGUAAAAAUAUAUUUCCACGCACAUCGAUCACAUGCAUGCACCAACGAAUGGUAAUAUGUUGGACUACUGACGCGGCUAGCGGGAUGCACGGAUCUUGUUACCUCCAACGAAUCUACUCUCCAGUUUGCACGCAUCAGCAUGUGAUAUCCACCAGCUCAACAAAACUGAACCUAAUAAGUCCUAUUGUGUAUCACCUACAGAUAUCCUGCGGCGGCGGGAGGGCGGCCAGCGGCGCUUGGCAGGGAGAGGGGAGGAACCCCUAGCAAGAGGGGUCGGGGCAGCCUGCUGUUAAUCUCAAGGUAAACGCUUGUGGCCGGUGCGCCGACCGAACCGUUCGUCCGGCGACGGUUGGCAGGGAGAGGGGAGGAACCCCUAGCAAGAGGGGUCGGGGCAGCCUACUGUUAAUCUCAAGGUAAACGCUUGUGGCCGGUGCGCCGACCGAACCGUUCGGCCGGCGGCGGUUGGCAGGGAGAGGGGAGGAACCCCUAGCAAGAGGGGUCGGGGCAGCCUACUGUUAAUCUCAAGGUAAACGCUUGUGGUCGGUGCGCCGACCGAACCGUUCGGCCGGCCGCACGCGACCCGCGCGCUGAGCGUUGACUGGGCAUGCAACAUUUUUCCGUCUAAAAUGUUGCAAUCAGUGUCAUAUUUGCUGCAAGCGGUUUAAUUUGCUACAUUUGUCCAGUAAAAAAGCUGCAUGUACAUUUGGUUGCAACUUCAGUUUAUUGGAUUUUUCGUUACAAUUGAUGUUUUUUACUUUUACUACAACUGUGUUAAUUUUUUGCUACGACCGACAUCAUUUUUUUGCAGCACCAAGCGCGGUGGCACUGGGAGCACUGCGUCCCGCUGUCGUAUCCGGAUAUCACCCUCCCUCACCACUGGCAUCUGGAUCCGGAGAGGAUCUCGGUGCCGGCCGUGUCGCGGUCAGCCUGGAUGCACGCAGAGGAGGUGAGUCACCGGAAGCGGCAGCUGAGGCCGGAGCAGCGGUGUGACCUUGCGUAUGCGGCCGACUCUCCCCUUUGGAAGGCCUGGUUCGCGAUCGAGCACAAGGAGUAGCGCUGGCGCGGCGUGCAGCCAGGAGGCCCUCAGCCGCCCCCGCCCGUCGUUAGUGACGAGGACCAGGAGGCGGAGGCCACCUACUAGGCAACGCUUGCAGCCGCACUCCACUAGAGAGAGGAGGAAGAGCGACGCAAGGCCGAUGAGGAGCACAUGGCGUACGAGGCACAACUCGCGGAGGCCAUCGGCGGCGGACAACGUCGUUCCCUCUCCGCCGAAGAGCAAGCCGCAGCCGGAGGUCAACUAGUGGACUGGCUACGUCCGCGAGUGGGUCAGCGUGCCGCCCAUCUGGUUGGACGUGACACCGUAACAGGAGGCCGCCUACCUCCAACACUGGAGGGAACUGCACCUGGCGGAGGAGCGCAUCGACGACCUGCUGCAGUGCCACCGCCGCUAGCACAGCCCGCGCCGGCGCGACAAAUGACGGAUGCACAAGCAGUGGCGCUCUAGAACACAUCGUUCCCGUGGGCCGGCCCUGCGUCCAGGCUGGUUGACCUCACCAACCCCAACGACGACGUCUAGGCAGCCUCAUAGUUUAGGUUUAAUGUUUAAUUAAGGUAAUGGAGACACGUGGACUCUUGCCGCCUUCGUGGCCGACUUUAAUGUUUAAUUAAUAUUCAUUUUUUAUUUUCGAAAAUGUCUGAUUUUUUUUCACGUGUCGGCUAAAAUGGGUCGGGCCAGCGUUGGAUGCAUGGACCGACGCAAACACGAAAACGGGCGUUGAUGUCCACCGUGGAGACCCAAACUGACACGUUCAGUCUUUAUCGGUAAAGAAUAUUAAUUUUGAAAAUCAUUUUUUUCUUUUCAAUAUAGUAUUUUUUCUAAAAAAUAAAACAAAAAUUUUAUGUGGAAAUAUGACAAUAUAUUCAAGGUCACAGAGAAAUGUACAUAUAUAUUGUCACAAUGUGCAUUCCAAUAUAAAUAAUACAAUUAUUCAUUUCCUUACCAAUGAUUCCAACUUUUUUUUGCGAGGGCUUACCAGUGAUUCCAACUUAACAAAAGGCCUAGAGGUUUUGUCAUUUCGAUGUCUUACACAUGCGUGUGCGCACGCGCACACACGCGCACGUAUGUAGAAAUGAUCAACUCAUGCAAGUGUUAUUUCUAGGAAAGAACAAUAAGUCAGCUUAAUAUUUUGUAGAUCAAAUGUUCAUACUAUAUAUGGGUCGGGCCAGCGUUGGAUGCAUGGACCGACGCAAACACGGAAACGGGCGUUGAUGUCCGCCAUGGAGACCCAAACUGACAAAACAUGAACAAAAUCGACCUCUGUUUGAGUCGGUCGGUUAGAGUUGCUCUAAGUCAUCUUAAUUUCUAGGAGCUUGAACAAACUCCACUUUCUGACAGUCAUUUGUGUUGUUCAGUCCACGACAAACUGCUAUUCUAGCGACUGGUACAUGACAAUAUAAACUAUGAAAAUAAAACAAGUUCAGUCUUUAUCGGUAAAGAAUAUUAAUUUUGAAAAUCAUUUUUUUUCUUUUCAAUAUAGUAUUUUUUUUCUUUUUAAUAUAGGAUUUCUGCAAGGUUGUAGACCUGUCAUCUUCCUUGAUGGUUGUCAUAUUAAGACUAGAUACAGAGGUCAACUACUUGCAGCUGUUGGUGUAGAUCCAAACAACUGCAUAUUUCCAAUAGCAAUAGCUGUGGUUGAGGUUGAGGAUACCCUUAACUGGGCAUGGUUUCUUGACACAUUGAAAAGAGAUCUAGGCAUCAUAAACACUGAACCUUGGACCAUAAUGUCAGACAAACAAAAGGGGCUCAUCAAUGCAGUUGAAGAAUUGUUCCCUGAAGUUGAACACAGAUUUUGUGUUAGGCACAUGUGGCAAAACUUUCAGCAAUCUUUCAAGGGUCAUGUAUUGAAGAAUCAACUAUGGAAGAUAGCAAGGAGUAACACAGUUCAACUGUAUGAACAAGGCAUGGAGGAAAUGAAGCUACUGAAUGUUGAUGCCUACAAGUGGUUGCAAGAGCUAGAACCUGAUACUUGGGUUAAAGCUUUUCAGAAAGACUUGCCCAAAUGUGAUAUUUUGCUAAACAACAUAUGUGAAGUUUUCAACAGGUACAUUCUGGAGGCUAGGGAACUACCAAUACUUAGCAUGGUUGAUAGGAUUUAUAGACAGCUAAUGACAAGGCAUUACAACAAGCAGAUGGAGUCAGAUAAAUGGCCUGGUGAUAUUUGCCCAAAGAUCAGGAAGAAGGUUGAGAAGGCAACAGAAUUUGCAAACACAUGCUAUGUGGAGGGAUCAGGAGAUGGCCUUUUUCUAGUAGGUGAUAGACGAGUUGAUUACAUUGUGGACAUGCACAAGAGAACAUGCACCUGCAGAAGGAUACAGAAAUCAAGGGUUCCAUGCUCUCAUGUCAUAGCCUACUGCGGGAAUGAUAGAAUUGAUCCUCUUCUGAUGGUUGACCCUUGCUACUCAAAGGAGAUGUUCAAGAGAGCAUAUGGUAAUAUUAUAUAUCCUUGCAAAGAUAGGAGAGAGUGGGAGGAUUUACAUGGGCCCCCAAUUCAGCCACCAUUGUACCAGAAGCAUGUGGGUAGACCAUGUACCAGAAGAAGACAAGCACCUGGAGAGGUUGAUCAUAGAAGGGGAGGGAAGAAAAUAACAAGGCAUGGUGUCAUCAUGCACUGUUCUUACUGUGGUGAGGCAGACCACAACACCAGGGGUUGCAAGCACAAAAAGGUUGGACUGCCACCACCAAGGGCUGGCAGUGUGACAAAUCAAGAACAAGGUCCUGGCAGUGUGACAAAUCCAGAACAAGGUGCUGGCAGUGUGCCUCAUCCAGAACAAGGUGCUGACAGUGUGACAAAUCCAGAACAAACAGCUACAUCCACUGAAGUUGAUCCUGUUUUAACACAGGUAACACUUGUAUGAUCAUGUUUUAACACACUGAAGUUGAUCAUGUUUGGCAUUUAUCUAACACAAACUUUUGCAUUUCAGCAGGACCAUCAAGAACCUUCUGCAACAUAUGAAGAUCUGAUGGUAGACAACAUGAUUGCCCAGGUAACAUAACUACUCCAUACCCCAUAACAUAACUAGUACUGCAGUAUUGAUCUCACAAUGGACACUUGUGUAUUUUUUAGAUGCCAAUACCUAGAGUUGUGGAACAAAGGCCACUACCAUCUUCUAGUUUCCUGAAUGCUGCCCAAGUGGUGCUAAACCAGUCUCUUGAUGGCCAAGGCAGCCAAGCAAGUUCAAAUACCAUCAGGCCUGGUGAGUUGGCACAGAAAUUGGAGGCCAUGAAGAACCAGAGAGAUAGGGAACUAGAGGAGAGGAAGCAGGCCAUUCUGGCAUCUAGAAGACAAGAGGAAUUGAGGAGAGCUGAAGAGGUAGCAAGAAAGAAACAUGAGGUUGCACAGAAGAAGGCUGAACUAGCAGAGAGAAGAAGAUUGGUUGCUGCACAGACAACUGCCAAAAAGAAAGAAGAAGCAGAAAUCAACAAGAAAGCUCAAGCUGAGACAAGACAGAUUAUUCAAGACACAAUGAAAACAUUAGCUGCUGAGAAGAAGGCAAGGCAAGAAGCAGAGAGGAGAGCUGCUGCUCAAAACAAAGAGGAAGAAAAGAGAGCACAGAGGGAAGCAGCUGCUGCAAAAAGAGAAGAAGAGAAGAUAAUUGCUGCUGCAAAAAGAGAAGAAGAGAAGAAGCUUGCUGCUGCCAGAAAACAAGAGGAGAAGAUGCUUGCUGCUACCAGAAAAGAAAAGGAGAAGAAGCUUGCUGCUGCCAGAAAAGAAGAGGAGAAGAAGCUUGCUACAAAAAAAGCAAGGGAGCAAAGCAUGGCUGCUGCAAAAAGAAAACAAAGCUGGGUUGACAAUGAAGCUGCCUAUCCAAAGAAGGCUCCAGGAUCUUCAAUGUUUGAUGUCUUUAGAUAGUAUUAUUCAUAGUGACUGCAAUAUUGUCCAUGUAAGAAACAUGGCUAUUUUCUUUUGUAUGUGGAUGAUGGGCAAGACUUAUUUGGUUGUGACAACAAGUUUUCAUGCAUUAUAUUUGGUCAGUUUGGCAUAUUUGUCAAGUUUGGAAAAGACUUCCUUCUUAUUUGGUCAUUUUGGUCCUAUUUGUCAAGUUUGGAAAAGACUUCCUUCUUAUUUGGUCAUUUUGGUCCUAUUUGUAGACAAUCACAUAUUAAGAAGGAAUGAUAUAACAUAGGGUUCAGCAUAGCAUUGUCACUUCCACCAUUACAUGAGACCAUUACAUGAAACAAACUACAUGACACAAACUAGGACUGCCACCAUUACAUGAAACAAACUACAUGACACAAACUAGGACUGCCACCACUACUAACAUCAUUGCAGUGUCCCAAAAUGAACCUGGCAUCACCAAUGCAGCUAGUCUUCAGUUCUUCACCAUGUAUAGCACCAAUGCACCAACACCUAACAUCAGCACAACAACAAGCAGGAUCUUCAUGAGCAUCACCGGCUCUCUCCCAAGCUUCAUCAGUGCAGCAGCUUGCUGCCUGGUCAUCACAUUGCCACUCUCUCUCUUCACAAACUUCUUAGACAUGCUGGUUGAUCCAUUCAUGUAAUGAAGCUCUUGUGCAUUCAGAAGUUGCUCCCUGCGUUCCUCAGCCGCACCAAUAGCAUCCACAGCUGCAUCGCCAACCAGGUAGUGAUUCUCAACCAGGUACUGCACGUACUCCAAUUCCCAACGCCAGAACUCACAACUCACCUAUCCAAAAAUACAUGGCAAGGUAAAAAAAAAGUUCAAUCUUUGCAUCCAAAACGGAAUAGAAUGCAUGGACAAGACAUAAAUGGAAGAGAUAAAUCCAUGGAAACACUAACCCCAUGAUUUUGGCACUUGUAGAAGACCCAUCCAUCGUGCUUCUCAGUGGUGGACACAAACAUGCGCACUUUCUCCUUGCAGCCUGCGCAGCGGAUCAGCGGCAGCGCCAACGCCCGACGGCGGACAUCAGAGGAGGACGAGCUCGUGAGAGACAUGACCGCCAGAGCUUGCGGUGGACAGCGCCAGAGCGACAGUGACCGAGCAGAGCGACGGAGGCAGAGCAGAGCGACGGAGGGUUAGGGAUUUGAGGGGGACACCGCGGGUUAGGGAUUUGAGGGAUUGGGGAUUUUGGUUCUUUUACAAAUAACCCCCUCAUGAAUCGUUGGCCGAAUGAGAGACCAGUACGUGGCGGUCAACAAUAGGUCAAACUAGGCCUGUACGCACCGCAUACGUGCUACAGUGACCGUACAAUCACGUUCCAUCGUAUAUAGUGACCGUAACGAGCGUAUUCCAAUGGUCAGUGACCGUAUCGUGCUUUCGUCCCAAAUACAGUGACCAUGAGUGUAUUUAUCUCAUUUUGAAAACCAUUUUUUUCUUUUCAAUAUAGUAUUUUUUCUAAAAAAUAAAACAAAAAUUUUAUGUGGAAAUAUGACAAUAUAUUCAAGAUCACAGAGAAAUGUACAUAUAUAUUGUCACAAUGUGCAUUCCAAUAUAAAUAAUACAAUUAUUCAUUUCCUUACCAAUGAUUCCAACUUUUUUUUGCGAGGGCUUACCAGUGAUUCCAACUUAACAAAAGGCCUAGAGGUUUUGUCAUUUCGAUGUCUUACACAUGCGUGUGCGCACGCGCACACACGCGCACAUAUGUAGAAAUGAUCAACUCAUGCAAGUGUUAUUUCUAGGAAAGAACAAUAAGUCAGCUUAAUAUUUUGUAGAUCAAAUGUCCAUACUAUAUAUUAUGUAUAGUAAAGGACAUUUUGCACAUAAAGCAUGUUUUCCUAGUUGAUAUUCUAAAUCCGCUUAUGUAAAUUGUCUUUGUUAAGUCGUAACGAUCGUACAUAUUACAAUUACUAUGACUGUCCGGUCACUAAACAACUAUUCACGUAGGCUUCUCAAACAAACCUCAAACGCCCGGGCUGGCCGAUAUCCCUCGUAUUCAGCUAAAAUCUAAGACAAAUAUGGGAUGCAUGAGCGCCCCAGACACGUCCGCCGCGUCGAAGCCGGCCCACCAUGGCCCAACCGACCCCACAUAUAUUCGCCUCGAUCCUCUUCCUACAAAAAACCCUAGCAACUCCAUUCCAUUCCACUUCACUCCACUCCCCCACCCAAGCCCCCGUUCAUCGAUCUCCGACCUUCUUUGGCAUUGCGGACAAAGCUUCCGAGCAUACACAUCUAGAUCCAUCAAUCAUGACCUCAUCCCACGCGGCGUCGAGGAGGAGAUGGCCGUCUGGCUUGCACCCUGCCACUCCAGGGAGGAGGCUGUCCAACGAUAGCGCCCGGACUCCUUCCGUCUGGAAUCCAUUGCGUCCGCAAAAAUGGCGCAUGAUUUCGCCGGUAAUGGUGCCAUCGCUGCCUCACCAAAGAGGUGUGAUCCGUAUGGCGUCCGACGCAGUCGGUCGCUAGACAUGAGCAUGACGGAGCCGACCGAGCUCCGCUUACUAUUAGGUUUACGUUGCUUGUAACAAUAUUGAUUUAAGGUUUUAAAGCGGUUGCGGGCAUGUGAGUGGUCGGAUUUGUACUGUGUAUGCUCUAAUACAGUUCACAUGCACACCCAUAAAAUAACCCCAUCACAUGACAGCACAUUCAUUCGUUCGUAUUUAUGUUGGAACGGUAAGGGCGGACGUUUGUCCCUAGGCAGUCAGUGGGCAGUGAGUAUCUUUUUGCAGCAUCCGAGGAUGAGGCAACUCACCGGGGGCGGCGUCCACGGCUUCACGCUCUGAGACUACUCACAAUGGGGAGUAAACAUAGAGUAGUAACACACAUAUGUUACUAGUCUAAGUUACUAUAUCCAUAAUGGAUAGUAACAUAGGAGUAGUAACGUUGAGUCUUUCAUUUAUUAGCCUAUAGACUCAUCUUGUCUUGGUAUCCGUUAUGUUACUCCUAGUAUGAGUAACAUGCUAAGUUACUCAAUUUCUCUCUCUUCUCAUUAAUUAGUUGCCACGUUAUAUUUCUUACUUAUGUGGCAUCUAUAUUACUACCUAUAUUACUCCUAUUAUGGAUAGUCUGAUCGAUGCGCGCUCUCUGUCGUCUGUGCCUUUUAAAUUCCAUGAAAAGGGGAUAUCGUUGUAUACUAGCAAAAGCUGCCUCCAAAACAUAUACUAAUAAUAUUGAUUUAAUGUUUUGAAGCAUUUGCGGACAUGUGAAGAGUCGGAUUUGUAGUGUAUAUGCUCUAAUACAAUUCACAUACACACGCAUAAGAUAACCCCCUCGCAUGACAGCACGUUCAUUCGUUUGUAUUUAUGUUGGAACGGUCAAGGCGGACGUUUGUUCCCAGACAGUUCAUUCGUUUGUAUUUAUGUUGGAACGGUCAGGGCGGACGUUUGUCCCCAGACAGCCAGUGGCAGUGAACAUCUUUUCGCAGCAUCCGAGGAUGAGGCAACUCACCAAGCGCGGCGUCCAUGGCUUCACGCUCUGAUCUAAGCGCGCUCUCUGUCGUCUGAGCCUUUUAAAUCUGCACCUUGCGUGCAUGAAAAGGGGAUAGCGCUCGGACUCCUUUCGUCUGGAAUCCAUUGCGUCUGCAAAGAUGAUGCAUGAUUUCGCCGGUAAUGGUGCCAUCGCUGCCUCACCAAAGAUGGUGUGUAUUGUCUGGCGUCGGAUGCAGCCGGUCGCUAGAUAUGAGCAUGACGGAGCCGACCGAGCUCCACUUACUAUUAGGUUUAGGUUGCACGUAACAAUAUUGAUUUAAGGUUUUCAAGCGUUUGCGGGCACGCGAGGGGUCGGAUUUGUGCUGUAUAUGCUCUAAUCCAAUUCACAUGCACACACAUAAAAUAACCCAUCACAUGACAGCAUGUUCAUUUGUUUGUAUUUAUGUUAAAAUGGUCAGGGGGCAGUGAGCAUCUCUUCGCAGCAUCCGAGGAUGAGGCGCGGCGUGCACGGCUUGACGCUCUGAUCGACGCGCGCUCUCUGUCAUCUGUGCCUAUUAAAAUCUGAACCUUGCGUGCAUGAAAAGGGAAUCGCUGUACAUGCAGUCGUGACCUUUUGCGGUGGUAGUAUACUCUACUAGCAAAAGCUGCCUCCAAAACGUAUACUACGCCAUCUCCACUCCAAACAGAGUUUUUGAUGGACACGAUGAUAGUAACGGAGAGGUAUAUUAUUCAGUACGAAGGGACCUCUGUUAACAAGUGGAGUGCACAAUUGUUUAGCAAGAAGAGAAGACGACUGCCAGAGAGCACGACGUACUGCGCAAAAGGCAUGGAUGACACUUGUUUACAAGUGCAGUGGAGCACCGCACUAAGGCAGUAUAUAUAGUGACAGUGAGGAGUAGAAAAAAUAAAUCAGAAUCAUCUCCUUGGUCAUCAUCUAGUUCAUACAGUUGUAAUUUGUUUUUGAACCGUGACCGUAGAACAAUUGUUCUGCGGUAUUUUCGUUUAUUUCCCAUCACGCUGGGUGCAAAAGGUACUUUUUGCAAAUAAAAAAAAUUGAAUAUGGUUUGAAAUGCCCGAAAGUUUUGUGUGCUACAGACAAUUAGUGGCAAAAAGUUGGUAAAAAAAUACUUCUUAAAAUUAGCUUUCUUUAGAGCAUUAAAAGUUUGUUUCUUCCUCAUCAUAUAAUUAUCGAAUUAUUAAUUUUCGAUUCUGGCUGAGAAACGUUCUCUUCUCGGCCAGACAAACUUCCACAAGAUGCUGGCUCUGGCUCAACAUUUGUAGGCUGGUUUACAAGGAGAAGGCAUAGAGUGCCCAGCAGGUUGCACUUUCGAUUCAUGCACUUUCCACCUUGAAGGCCACAAUGAUGAUAGGUGGUUGGCCGUCUUUUUAUCACAAUAGUCUACAAGAUAGUAAAAUGUACAAACCCACCACAAUCAUAUCACAAAAUGUAAAACUCCACCACUUUAUAAAACCUAGCAAAACACACCAAACGCUAUCAUUGACCAUCGUAAAAAUCACUGACCAAAAUUUAAAUCAUGUUUUGAUGUGGCAAAUCGCUCACGUGACAAAUGGAUACAAAAUGUUGACUGGCGGACGUUUAAAACGUUUUGGUUCAGUCAUAAUAACCGGAGAGCACAUGAAAGAGAAUAUGUACUAGCUAGAGUAUAUUACAAAUCCGCAGAGAUGCGGCCUCUUCCUCGAUCCAUGGCGGCGCGGUGGCUGUUGCUAGAGGCGUUUGUGGUGAUGUGGGGUGAGAUGCGAGAGGAUGGAGGUAGGGCUGGGUGUGGCCGGUGGAAAUAGAACUGACCUCUAAUUUCAUACAGUUUGUCUGCAUGUCAUCUCACAUACAACCUUUCCCCAGUUUGCACGAAUCUUGUUACCUCGAACGAAUCUACUCUCCAGUUCGCACGCAUGCGCAUGUGCUACCCACCAGAUCCACAAAAUAAACCUACACCUCUUCUUCCACCGAUCGAUUGGUAGCAGACAUACGUACGUAUAUCGUUCCGCUCGAGUUGCGGCCUAGUCCUCUUCUUCCACCAAUCGAUUCUGGCAAGAAGAAGGAAAUAGUGGAGAUAUAUUUCAGCUAUCUUGUACUCCCUCCGUCCCAAAAUAAGUGUCUUAAGCUUAUUACAAUUUUUUACUAGAGCUAAUACAAAGUUGAGACAAUUAUUUUGGGGCGGAGGGAGUAUCAUAUAGUAAAUAAUAUUCAUGGAACCAACAAUAAUUACAUUAAGGAAGAAUAUUAUUAGCUAGAUUGAAUGAGAAAGAGAGUCCAAAGUAUUACCUGGUUAAUAUUUGUCUCUGUGUUACAGGAUUCAGACGUGUAGAAAACUAUUCCAUCACAAUCGGAUGGUGGACUGCUCGUGUUCAUGUAGAAGGUGCACCUGGAUGCCAUAUCACACAGAACAACCUUUCCCCCCAGAGACUCGCAUGGACAAAUGCGAAGAAGUGGAGGCUUCCUUGAUUUAAGUGGGCCUACAUGCAUGGAUUUGAUCAUGACAUAAAGCAUGAGAUUCCGAUUGUCAUGAAAGAGGCAAGAAUACUCGAAACUAGAAGAUGCAGUAGCAGACAUACAUACGUAUAUCUAUCCUUUUUUGGAUAUCGAUGUCUGCUUCCUCGUUCCGCUCUGAGUUGCGGGCUAGUCCUCUUCUUCCACCAGUCGAUUCUGGCAAGCAAAACGAAAUAGUGGAGAUAUAUUUGAGCUAUCAUAGUAAAUAAUACGCAUGGAACCAACAAGGAUUGCAUUAAGGAAGAAUAUUACUAGCUAGAUUGAAUGAGAAAGUGACCAAAAUAUUACCUGAUGAAUAUUUGUCUGUAUGUUGCCGGAUUCAGACGUGUAGAGCACGUGCCAUUUCUUCUCGUCUCCUCCAUCCUCUGCAUAAGCCUCGACCUGCUUGAUAUGACUGAACUUGUCCCACUCGGAGCUAGAUUCACCCUCAGCCAUGGACGUGAGUACUACUAGGUUGCAGGUCAGCAGCAAAUGACUAGGCUUUACAGUCCGCAGGUACACCGGAAGUUGAUUUUCCCAGCUGAAAACUCUCAGCCCGAGUCUCCGGAGUGCAUCCAUGUCCUUCAGCGUCUCGAGCUUUGGGCAGUACUUGAUAUCAAGCUUUUGUAAUUUUGGAAGAUUGGAGAUGAUGGCCAGCUCGGGUAGUUUUCCCAAGUCGAGCUCAACUACAGAGACAAAGUUCUCUAGAGAGGGGAGACGUUGGACGUUCCAUAUUACUAGCUUCUUCAAAGCCGUUGCAUGGGACAUAAGUCCUGGAGGCAUACGACCCAGUUUGCAGCCACUGAUACCAAGUUCCUCCAAGAAGGGCAUAGCUUUCACUUCCGUGUCCCAAACCCACUCCUGCCAUUCCCCCAUUCUUGUAAAAUCCAACUUGUGGAGUUUGGGAAACGUAGCAGCAAACUGAGGUGAAGGACGGUGCCGUUGACUGUACUGUUGGACGAAUUCAGGACCGACACACUUGAUUACUGAGGCCCCGUCCACUUGUAGCCACUCCAAAUAAGGGAGCCGACACAACCCAUCCGGGAGUUGGGUGCAGCAGGGCAGGUGUUCGAGGCAUAGAAGCUUCAAGCUCUCGAGGGGCACCAUAGCUGUGGACGCCAUCCAUCCUGGGAGCCGGCGGCCAAAAUAUCUUUCUAU
This 18149-nucleotide long non-coding RNA is filed under the name Hordeum vulgare. RNAcentral describes it as "long non-coding RNA (HVUL_LNC008461)". Lineage: Eukaryota; Viridiplantae; Streptophyta; Magnoliopsida; Poales; Poaceae. The record is from RNAcentral.